This 510-nucleotide ribosomal RNA is filed under the name uncultured Acaulospora. RNAcentral describes it as "SSU rRNA". It matches the Rfam family "Eukaryotic small subunit ribosomal RNA", at positions 569 to 1078 of the family's 1831-position model. Lineage: Eukaryota; Fungi; Glomeromycota; Glomeromycetes; Diversisporales; Acaulosporaceae. The record is from RNAcentral.
AGCAGCCGCGGUAAUUCCAGCUCCAAUAGCGUAUAUUAAAGUUGUUGCAGUUAAAAAGCUCGUAGUUGAAUUUCGGGGUUUGUCGGUUGGUCGGGCUUCAUUGUCCGCACUGACCUGAUGGAUUCCUACCUUCUGAAUAACCAGCAUGCUAUUAAGUUAGUGCGUUGGGGAAGCAGAGCUAUUACCUUGAAAAAAUUAGAGUGCUUAAAGCAGGCUUAUGCUUGAAUAGAUUAGCAUGGAAUAAUAAAAUAGGACGGCAUGGUUCUAUUUUGUUGGUUUCUAGGAUCACCGUAAUGAUUAAUAGGGAUAGUUGGGGGCAUUAGUAUUCAAUUGUCAGAGGUGAAAUUCUUGGAUUUAUUGAAGACUAACUUCUGCGAAAGCAUUUGCCAAGGAUGUUUUCAUUAAUCAAGAACGAAAGUUAGGGGAUCGAAGACGAUCAGAUACCGUCGUAGUCUUAACCAUAAACUAUGCCGACUAGGGAUCGGACGAUGUUAAUUUUUUAAUGACUCG